GCAAGUCGAACGGUAGAGGGGGCAACCCCUUGAGAGUGGCGAACGGGUGAGUAAUAUAUCGGAACGUGCCCAGUCGUGGGGGAUAACGUAGUGAAAAUUACGCUAAUACCGCAUACGAUCUAAGGAUGAAAGCGGGGGAUCGCAAGACCUCGCGCGACUGGAGCGGCCGAUAUCAGAUUAGGUAGUUGGUAGGGUAAAGGCCUACCAAGCCAACGAUCUGUAGCUGGUCUGAGAGGGCGACCAGCCACACUGGAACUGAGACACGGUCCAGACUCCUACGGGAGGCAGCAGUGGGGAAUUUUGGACAAUGGGCGAAAGCCUGAUCCAGCCAUUCCGCGUGCAGGAUGAAGGCCCUCGGGUUGUAAACUGCUUUUGUACAGAACGAAAAAGUUUCUAUUAAUACUAGGAGCUCAUGACGGUACUGUAAGAAUAAGCACCGGCUAACUACGUGCCAGCAGCCGCGGUAAUACGUAGGGUGCAAGCGUUAAUCGGAAUUACUGGGCGUAAAGCGUGCGCAGGCGGUUAUAUAAGUCAGAUGUGAAAUCCCCGGGCUCAACCUGGGAACUGCAUUUGAGACUGUAUAGCUAGAGUACGGUAGAGGGGGAUGGAAUUCCGCGUGUAGCAGUGAAAUGCGUAGAUAUGCGGAGGAACACCGAUGGCGAAGGCAAUCCCCUGGACCUGUACUGACGCUCAUGCACGAAAGCGUGGGGAGCAAACAGGAUUAGAUACACUGGUAGUCCACGCCCUAAACGAUGUCAACUGGUUGUUGGGUCUUAACUGACUCAGUAACGAAGCUAACGCGUGAAGUUGACCGCCUGGGGAGUACGGCCGCAAGGUUGAAACCCAAAGGAAUUGACGGGGACCCGCACAAGCGGUGGAUGAUGUGGUUUAAUUCGAUGCAACGCGAAAACCUUACCCACCUUUGACAUGUACGGAAGGAUCCAGAGAUGGAUUUGUGCU
Molecule: ribosomal RNA, 960 nt
Filed under: uncultured Comamonadaceae bacterium
Lineage: Bacteria; Pseudomonadati; Pseudomonadota; Betaproteobacteria; Burkholderiales; Comamonadaceae
Description: bacterial SSU rRNA
Rfam family: Bacterial small subunit ribosomal RNA
Source: RNAcentral